Molecule: ribosomal RNA, 460 nt
Filed under: uncultured bacterium
Lineage: Bacteria
Description: partial 16S ribosomal RNA
Rfam family: Bacterial small subunit ribosomal RNA
Source: RNAcentral
CCUACGGGAGGCAGCAGUGAGGAAUAUUGGUCAAUGGCCGGAAGGCUGAACCAGCCAUGCCGCGUGAAGGUCAGUGCCCUAUGGGCGUUAAACUUCUUUUGUGCGGGAGCAAUAAUGGUCACGUGUGGCCAGACGAGAGUACCGUACGAAUAAGCAUCGGCUAACUCCGUGCCAGCAGCCGCGGUAAUACGGGGGAUGCAAGCGUUAUCCGGAUUUAUUGGGUUUAAAGGGUGCGGAGGCUGUGAGGUAAGUCAGCGGUGAAAUGCCGACGCUCAACGGGGUGAAGUGCCAUUGAUACUGCCUGGCUGGAGUGCGGUUGCGGUGGGAGGAAUGUGGGGUGUAGGGGUGAAAUGCAUAGAUAUCACAAAGAACACCGAUUGCGAAGGCAUCUCACGAAGCGGCGAUUGACACUGAGGCACGAAAGCGUGGGUAGCAAACGGGAUGAGAUACCCGUGUAGUC